RNAcentral lists this ribosomal RNA (413 nucleotides) under uncultured microorganism. RNAcentral describes it as "bacterial SSU rRNA". It matches the Rfam family "Bacterial small subunit ribosomal RNA", at positions 9 to 416 of the family's 1533-position model. The record is from RNAcentral.
GAGUUUGAUCGUGGCUCAGAGUGAACGCUGGCGGUAGGCCUAACACAUGCAAGUCGAACGGCAGCACAGUAAGAGCUUGCUCUUAUGGGUGGCGAGUGGCGGACGGGUGAGGAAUACAUCGGAAUCUACUUUUUCGUGGGGGAUAACGUAGGGAAACUUACGCUAAUACCGCAUACGACCUACGGGUGAAAGCAGGGGAUCUUCGGACCUUGCGCGAUUGAAUGAGCCGAUGUCGGAUUAGCUAGUUGGCGGGGUAAAGGCCCACCAAGGCGACGAUCCGUAGCUGGUCUGAGAGGAUGAUCAGCCACACUGGAACUGAGACACGGUCCAGACUCCUACGGGAGGCAGCAGUGGGGAAUAUUGGACAAUGGGCGCAAGCCUGAUCCAGCCAUACCGCGUGGGUGAAGAAGGCC